This 230-nucleotide ribosomal RNA is filed under the name uncultured bacterium. Its description in RNAcentral is "partial 16S ribosomal RNA". It matches the Rfam family "Bacterial small subunit ribosomal RNA", at positions 15 to 228 of the family's 1533-position model. The record is from RNAcentral.
GAUCAUGGCUCAGGACGAACGCUGGCGGCGUGCUUAACACAUGCAAGUCGAACGAGAACCUGCGGAAAGAGGAUUCGUCCAAUUGAAGCAGAGGACAGUGGCGGACGGGUGAGUAACGCGUGAGGAACCUGCCUUUCAGAGGGGGACAACAGUUGGAAACGACUGCUAAUACCGCAUAACAUAUAGAUGUCGCAUGGCAUUUAUAUCAAAGAUUUAUCGCUGAAAGAUGG